UUGAGGCGUGGCUUCCGGAGCUAACGCGUUAAAUCGACCGCCUGGGGAGUACGGCCGCAAGGUUAAAACUCAAAUGAAUUGACGGGGGCCCGCACAAGCGGUGGAGCAUGUGGUUUAAUUCGAUGCAACGCGAAGAACCUUACCUGGUCUUGACAUCCACAGAACUUUCCAGAGAUGGAUUGGUGCCUUCGGGAACUGUGAGACAGGUGCUGCAUGGCUGUCGUCAGCUCGUGUUGUGAAAUGUUGGGUUAAGUCCCGCAACGAGCGCAACCCUUAUCCUUUGUUGCCAGCGGUUAGGCCGGGAACUCAAAGGAGACUGCCAGUGAUAAACUGGAGGAAGGUGGGGAUGACGUCAAGUCAUCAUGGCCCUUACGACCAGGGCUACACACGUGCUACAAUGGCAUAUACAAAGAGAAGCGACCUCGCGAGAGCAAGCGGACCUCAUAAAGUAUGUCGUAGUCCGGAUUGGAGUCUGCAACUCGACUCCAUGAAGUCGGAAUCGCUAGUAAUCGUAGAUCAGAAUGCUACGGUGAAUACGUUCCCGGGCCUUGUACACACCGCCCGUCACACCAUGGGAGUGGGUUGCAAAAGAAGUAGGUAGCUUAACCUUCGGGAGGGCGCUUACCACUUUGUGAUUCAUGACUGGGGUGAAGUCGUAACAAGGUAACCGUAGGGGAACCUGCGGUUG
Molecule: ribosomal RNA, 688 nt
Filed under: Klebsiella pneumoniae
Lineage: Bacteria; Pseudomonadati; Pseudomonadota; Gammaproteobacteria; Enterobacterales; Enterobacteriaceae
Description: bacterial SSU rRNA
Rfam family: Bacterial small subunit ribosomal RNA
Source: RNAcentral